Molecule: long non-coding RNA, 1061 nt
Organism: Zea mays
Lineage: Eukaryota; Viridiplantae; Streptophyta; Magnoliopsida; Poales; Poaceae
Exons: 3
Source: RefSeq, a predicted model, not a curated record
UCUAAAUUUUUUCUGUUGUCUCCUUUUUGUUCUCCAUCGUUUAUACUUUGGUGGUCCUCUUAGUUCUCAGUCACACAUCUAUUUUGUUAUAGUAGUACAAACACUUAGGGUGGAAGGAUGUUUGACAUGUUCUGGUCUCAAAUUCAUAACUUAAUUGGUAUCUUUUCUGUUCCAAUUUUUAUGCCACUUCGUGGUUUAGAGGGUCUAAUCGAAGGCACAAACAAUGUUUCCUGAUUUAUUUUUAAAAUACAGUCUGGCAAUUUUCUCAGAACAUGCUGAUGGACAGCCAACCUAAAAGCUAUACCUGAAAAACUGAUAACUUUUUGGCAACCUAUUCUACCUUUCAGGUGUGGAAAGCCGACUGGCUACUGGUUUGCCUUUGUGUUACCCAGUUCCCAGUAACAACAUUAUAAUAUCAUUAAAAUUAAAUGUGGAUGCAUAAUGUUAUCUAUGAAAUUGUUAUGUUCAUUCCCCUAGCAUAUUUCUAUCUACAUAUUAAAAGUAUGGUCUUAUCCAGUCAUGAAUGUUCUACAUCAAGCAAAAUUUAUGACCUGAUCAACUAUGUAAGGAGUCCAUCAGUGAUAAUAUAAGAAGGGAGGACCUACAAUUCUGAUGAAAAGGUUUUAUCAUGAGUUUUAUUUCAUUACAUAUAUAAAUUGGGUGUCAAAGUAAAUUCAGUAACCAGGACAUAAUGAAAUAUUUACGCUUACCUAUUCUAAUUUUAAUAGUUUAUCAAGCCAUCAAGUUUUUACGGUCUAUUUAUUAGAACUUAAUCAGGUUUGUAUAGUGUGUUGCUUUAUGAUCAAUUGACCAUUCAUUACCUCCGCCUGAUGGCCCUUAUUAACAACAAAAUGGAAUUGAGGGUAUCCAUGGAGAUGCAUGUAGCUGAACUCAGUCAAGUUUCUAUCCAUUGUGUGUGUGUGUGCGCGCUUAUUUGGCAUCGUGUUCUUCCUUUUCAUGGGGAAUCAUAAAAGCAUAUGGAGGAACUAUGUAUAGGCUACAAAGAAGCAUAAGAAGCAUUUUUAUAGCAGAAGCCAAGUGUUCUGAUGAUUUUGUUUUUU